This 227-nucleotide ribosomal RNA is filed under the name uncultured bacterium. RNAcentral's name for it is "partial 16S ribosomal RNA". It matches the Rfam family "Bacterial small subunit ribosomal RNA", at positions 383 to 607 of the family's 1533-position model. The record is from RNAcentral.
CUGAACCAGCCAAGUAGCGUGAAGGAUGAAGGUCCUACGGAUUGUAAACUUCUUUUAUAAGGGAAUAAACCCUCCCACGUGUGGGAGCUUGUAUGUACCUUAUGAAUAAGGAUCGGCUAACUCCGUGCCAGCAGCCGCGGUAAUACGGAGGAUGCGAGCGUUAUCCGGAUUUAUUGGGUUUAAAGGGAGCGCAGGCGGGUCGUUAAGUCAGUUGUGAAAGUUUGCGG